GGUCUUUCUGUAGAGACGGACUGUAGGGUUUGUCGGCUGGUGAAAGAAACCCCAGAGUAUAUUCUAUGUGCCUGUCCACGCAGCAUGAAUCGUAGAUUGAUACACCUUGGAAAACUGCUUUGCUUUCGGCUCCAAAACGCUUCUGAAAAAGCUUGCUGCAUGAGCACUGUCAUAUAUCUACAGCAAUUUAAAAACCUCACUCCGCUCGGAACGGCUUCGCUCGGCUGGGAUCUGCUUUCUGUGUGAACGUACCCUUACGCAUUUCUUCCCUCCAAGGAGCAGCAACUUAUCAACUCAGUAGUUCAGAUUAACUCAUAUUUUGCUCAUCCAGCAAAUGUCAUGCUACCAAUGCUUUACGAUGAUCAUAAAUCAGUACGCGGCCAAGCAAUAAAAAAAAUUGUCUACUACCGUGACAACCUUUGCGAUACAGAAGUACUUACAGAGUACAAGAAAUUAUGAUAGAUUUGGAUGAUGACAAUAUUUUAACAGAACCGCCAAUUACUAGAAACAUUCCGCAUAACCAUUUGAAGGAAUAUUUAGAAUUUGAAGACCCAUCACUUCCUGACCCACAAGUUGAAUGCCACAUACAAAGUACUGAACAAUAACUUCAACUGCUAACAGCUCUCUAUCAGAAAAGAAGCAUUUACAUAUGGAAAUACAUAUCGUGUAAGAGCGCUAUAACCAGCAUUUCUCGGCGCGUAACGGAAAAAAAUCGUGAAAGUGUUAUGGCUGUAACUGAUGUUCGUCGAAAAAAAUUACCACGCUUGCAAAGCAAGCAGGACUAAAAAACUUAGUUAUUUAAGUAUUAAAAAAAUAACUGCUUUUUGUACCCUUACCCUCAUAAAUCAGCUAUUUGUUUAAGUUUUUCCCACCAAAUUUUGUAUUACCCGAUAUGCAGCUUCCACUUAAAAUUCGCUGGCUCGAGAUUGGUUUUAGACCCAUAGCUUCUUAAGAAAAUUAUUUCAGAAUGAUACGUAGAGAAUUUUCCGCAUAUGCGAUUUUACGGGUAAAAAAAAAUCGACCCCCCCUAAAGUCCAUACACAUCUGUGGACAUAUUUGACAAAAUAACUUCUCUCGAGUGAGGUCAUCUUCUCUUCAACGCAAUAAUUAACUGAGUUCUCAUAUGAUAUUUUUAAUUUUAAUCGCUAAUAGUAGCUCAAGAUGCUACCUUAAUCAAAGUUAAAUAAACUUUUUAAAUUUUUAUUUGGAAGCUCCUUAAAAUUAACUCCAAAUUCCAACCUACAGAAAGCAAAGAAGUUGUUUUGUCAAAAGUCCACAGAUAUGUACCUCUGCGGGGUAAUACCUAGCGGUUGGUCCAUGAAGGGAGGGAAACAGAGCAGGGGUGGGUUUCUAGUGCCGAAGGGCAAAUCCCACACUUAUCGGCUUUCAAUGCUUUGUGCGACCUCCACGAAACAAAAAACAUAGCAUUACACUGAUGUAUUGCAUAAAAAUGGAUGUGUAGUAAAAUUAUAAUCAGCAUACAUACUAUAUAUGUAUGUAAGUACAUACAUAACUUAAUUGCACUACAAGUUUAUCGGAUCUUUAAACGAAUCGCACUGAUUAACAAAGGUUAUAUGAGAACCUAUCCCUACAAAUAGUGCGUACAUAUUAGAGAAGUUAGGUAUGUAUUAUACUGUAGGUUAUGUUUCCACAUGCGAACUGGUGUUUUAAUUGUAGCUGUAAUAACUAACCACCACAUAAUGCGGUCCGUGCAUGAAGAAUUUCAACAGUUUGCCUGCAAAGAGAAUUUCUUUGUACUUAGUCAUUUUCUUAAGUACUAAAACAUUGUUUCGUAUGUAGGUGCAAAUAUAAUCCCUUAAGCUCAUAUUUGUUAUUUGUACAUACAUAUGUACGAGCAUACAUAUAUCGCCCGUUUACUGGAAGAAUGCCAUAAGACAAAAACAAAUUACUUAAGAACUUUGAUUUAUAUUUUUCCCUUGGAAAAAUAAAAGGGAGAGUACUAGGUAUAUUUGGCCCAGAAAAAGAAAGUUACACAAUUUUUUCUAUUAUUAAACGGCUUCUCAGUACGGUCUAUGUACAUACAUAUUCUACGCUCUUCUUUUUUGGCCUUCCCUGCUAAUUAUUUUCUCCUAGUAAAAUUUUUAAUAGCAGAAACUAGGAGUAAACAUAUUGGUUUUUAUUUGUUUCUUUAUUUAUACGUGUUUUUUUUAAAUAAAAAUAAGCGAAUUAUUAAAUACUAAUAAUUGUUGCAAAACGCAUCUCAACACAGUCCGUAGAAUCAGAAUCUAAUUCUUCAAUUGGCUCUAGCUUGCGAGAUAUUUGGGAUUUAUAGUGUCGGAAAUCGGAAUUUUGGUAGUUUUUUAACUUCUGUAGAAAGAUAUGUAUAGACGUGCAAUAUACAAAAUCUUUCGAACAGCUUAAAAUGAAAGCGACAAUACUGGAAUUUCAGUUUCUAAGGUAAAUUUAAUUCCUUAAACAUGCGGUUUAAAACGAGUUAAAAAUAACAAUAAAAUUUUGUUUACGAAUUUCUUUAAAUUUUGUAUUAGUUCUAUUUUAGCAGCUCAAUUUAUUUGUCAAAUGUUUCGAAAAUUUUUGAAUAAAUUGACUUACGUUAAUACGUAUAUUGAAUUUUUUUAGUUUUGGUUAUAAAUACAAUGCAAUCAACUCAUUCGAAGAAGAAAGAAUUCCAACUUUAAUCAUAUCUGAGCAAGCCUUUUAUGUUUUUGUUGGUAGAAUUGGAAAUUUACUUCGAAUGGUUCUAAAAAGGCUUUUAAAAAAAUUAGUAUCAAGUCAAGUUGAUGUAUGUACAACCUGUUUAUAUGCUUUGGUUAUUAUACAUAUGGGGUAUUCCAUCGUCACGGGUGGGACAUUUGUACAGCAAAAAUAGGUUUUCUUUUUUAAAUUUAAGUAUAAA
RNAcentral lists this long non-coding RNA (2875 nucleotides) under Rhagoletis pomonella (apple maggot). Its description in RNAcentral is "uncharacterized LOC118742332". The record is from RNAcentral. Lineage: Eukaryota; Metazoa; Arthropoda; Insecta; Diptera; Tephritidae.